RNAcentral lists this ribosomal RNA (497 nucleotides) under uncultured bacterium. RNAcentral describes it as "partial 16S ribosomal RNA". It matches the Rfam family "Bacterial small subunit ribosomal RNA", at positions 28 to 507 of the family's 1533-position model. The record is from RNAcentral.
GAUGAACGCUGGCGGCGUGCCUAAUACAUGCAAGUCGAGCGAACAGACGAGGAGCUUGCUCCUCUGACGUUAGCGGCGGACGGGUGAGUAACACGUGGCUAACCUACCUAUAAGACUGGGAUAACUUCGGGAAACCGGAGCUAAUACCGGAUAAUAUAUUGAACCGCAUGGUUCAAUAGUGAAAGACGGUUUUGCUGUCACUUAUAGAUGGAUCCGCGCCGCAUUAGCUAGUUGGUAAGGUAACGGCUUACCAAGGCAACGAUGCGUAGCCGACCUGAGAGGGUGAUCGGCCACACUGGAACUGAGACACGGUCCAGACUCCUACGGGAGGCAGCAGUAGGGAAUCUUCCGCAAUGGGCGAAAGCUUGACGGAGCAACGCCGCGUGAGUGAUGAAGGUCUUCGGAUCGUAAAACUCUGUUAUUAGGGAAGAACAAAUGUGUAAGUAACUAUGCACGUCUUGACGGUACCUAAUCAGAAAGCCACGGCUAACUACGUG